Molecule: ribosomal RNA, 195 nt
Filed under: uncultured bacterium
Lineage: Bacteria
Description: partial 16S ribosomal RNA
Rfam family: Bacterial small subunit ribosomal RNA
Source: RNAcentral
UGGAGGUCUGCAACCCGACUCCACGAAGUUGGAUUCGCUAGUAAUCGCGCAUCAGCCAUGGCGCGGUGAAUACGUUCCCGGGCCUUGUACACACCGCCCGUCAAGCCAUGGGAGCCGGGGGCGCCUGAAGUCCGGGACCGCGAGGACCGGCCUAGGGCGAAACUGGUAACUGGGGCUAAGUCGUAACAAGGUAGC